RNAcentral lists this ribosomal RNA (315 nucleotides) under uncultured bacterium. Its description in RNAcentral is "bacterial SSU rRNA". It matches the Rfam family "Bacterial small subunit ribosomal RNA", at positions 29 to 319 of the family's 1533-position model. The record is from RNAcentral.
AACGAACGCUGGCGGCGUGGAUAAGACAUGCAAGUCGAACGGGAACUCUCUUGGUAGCAAUACCGAAAGAGUUUCAGUGGCGAACGGGUGCGUAACACGUGGGCAAUCUGCCGAGAAGUGGGGGAGUAGCUCGCCGAAAGGACGAAUUAAUACCGCAUAUGAUCAGAGGGGACGAUCCCUUCCGACAUCAAAGACCGGGGCGAACCUGGCGCUUUUGUAGGAGGCCCGCCGGCCAUCAGCUAGUUGGUGAGGUAACGGCUCACCAAGGCUAUGACGGGUAGGCUGGUCUGAGAGGACGACCAGUCACACUGGAAC